GAAAAAGCACUGGGAUGUUGGAUAACUCCAAACCCGUGAGGCAAAAACUCCUCAAAGAGAGAGGGUGGAGGAGGAGCAGAGCUCUCUGUUUUCAAAACAUCCCAGAAAAAUCUUGGAAGGAGAUCAUACAUCCCAUUUGUGCCUUCCUCUCCAGAAAGGAAGACUUUAAUCUGCAUAAAUUAAAACAUAAACUGGAUAAAUAGGCUCCUUAUUUGUAUUACUGUCCUUCAUGACUGUUUCUUCUUCGCAGGCCCCGUGAUGGCCACUGAGAGAGUGAGCAGGUGGAUGUUCUGCUCUCACUGAAGGUCAUGGAAGUGAACCCUGGAUCCAUGGAGUGACUCUGCCUCCAUGCUCAGCUGACCUGGGUGGCACUGGCCAUUUUUUGGCUCAGGUAAGGUAUUAUCUGUUGUGAAAGUGCAGAGCUGGAGUGUCAGGAACGAGUAGGAAUUGACUGUGAGCUCAGGGAGAAUGUGACAGGGAAGAAACCAGGACAGUGGAAUCCCUCAUCCUCCCAGUGCCUGGUUUUUCCUGUGUGUAUAAUGUGUGUCCAUGACCUUGCAGGUGACACCAAACCACGUGCAGCUCACCUUCUACUCCCUGUGCUGUGGGAUUCUUGUUUUCAUGACGUGGAUGCAGCUUUUUCUCCUGUAGUUUCAGGCAUAACUCAGUUCCUCAGAGUGCUCUCAGCACAAAGGUUGCUCUGCAUCACACCAAGAUAAGUGUGUCUGUUGUCCAAGGGUUACUGAGCAGAGCUGGGACUCGGCUCCUGGACCAAAUUUCCUGUUUUAAGAUCAACUUGGGAAUGUCCCAGCUGGCCUGUUGUCCUGAGCCCUUGAGAAUCCCUGAGAGCUGCAGUUGUGAGCAGUUCUGAGACUGAGCUGAGGGGGGCAAAGAUGCAUUUCCCACAACAGCCACUUGAAUCAUCAUUAAAACUUCCACCUGAAGCUUCUCAUGUCUCCUUCUCCAUCUCUUCAACAUGUUCAGUGAUUAUUUUCUUCUCCACAGGCACAAUCAUCAGCACUGCUGUUCUAUCAGGGACUUCUGGGAACUCCACCACCCCCAACCCCAAGCAGGGUUUGGCUGGAACCUGACAUCUGUAUUUCACCCUCAACAACAGGAGGUUCAACCAAAACUUCCCACAGGGCAGGUGGUGAAGAUCAACCCGGGGUGGUUUUUGAUGGGAUAUUUGCUGUAUGGUGUAAUUUUUUUAUCCACUUCCAUAUUGACAUUGGGAAGGUGACAUGUCAGGAGCAGAACACUUGAUGUGUCACUGCCCAUGGCAGUGAUUGUCACUGGGAAAGCCAAGGGGACAGCUGGGAUCCUG
This 1324-nucleotide long non-coding RNA is filed under the name Manacus vitellinus (golden-collared manakin). RNAcentral's name for it is "lncRNA (ENSMVIG00005019395.1)". Lineage: Eukaryota; Metazoa; Chordata; Aves; Passeriformes; Pipridae. The record is from RNAcentral.